RNAcentral lists this unclassified non-coding RNA (161 nucleotides) under fungal sp. RNAcentral's name for it is "partial internal transcribed spacer region". The stretch from base 1 to 46 matches the Rfam family "Eukaryotic small subunit ribosomal RNA", at positions 1786 to 1831 of the family's 1831-position model. Lineage: Eukaryota; Fungi. The record is from RNAcentral.
AAGUUGUAACAAGGUUUCCGUAGGUGAACCUGCGGAAGGAUCAUUAAUUUAUGUGUAGAUUGUAUAUUUGGGUAGGAGCUUUGCCAAAGGGUCCCCAUGCCCCCUAAUAACCCCUGGGUAAAAAAACCGAACAACUGUUAACAAUGGAUAUCUUGGUUCUC